RNAcentral lists this ribosomal RNA (711 nucleotides) under Bacillus sp. TMR1.10.1. Its description in RNAcentral is "bacterial SSU rRNA". It matches the Rfam family "Bacterial small subunit ribosomal RNA", at positions 56 to 749 of the family's 1533-position model. Lineage: Bacteria; Bacillati; Bacillota; Bacilli; Caryophanales; Bacillaceae. The record is from RNAcentral.
UGCAAGUCGAGCGAACUUUUGGGAGCUUGCUCCCAAAAGUUAGCGGCGGACGGGUGAGUAACACGUGGGCAACCUGCCUAUAAGACUGGGAUAACUUCGGGAAACCGGAGCUAAUACCGGAUAAUUCUUUUCCUCUCAUGAGGAAAAGCUGAAAGGCGGCUUUUAGCUGUCACUUAUAGAUGGGCCCGCGGCGCAUUAGCUAGUUGGUGAGGUAACGGCUCACCAAGGCGACGAUGCGUAGCCGACCUGAGAGGGUGAUCGGCCACACUGGGACUGAGACACGGCCCAGACUCCUACGGGAGGCAGCAGUAGGGAAUCUUCCGCAAUGGACGAAAGUCUGACGGAGCAACGCCGCGUGAGUGAUGAAGGUUUUCGGAUCGUAAAACUCUGUUGUUAGGGAAGAACAAGUACGAGAGUAACUGCUCGUACCUUGACGGUACCUAACCAGAAAGCCACGGCUAACUACGUGCCAGCAGCCGCGGUAAUACGUAGGUGGCAAGCGUUGUCCGGAAUUAUUGGGCGUAAAGCGCGCGCAGGCGGUUCCUUAAGUCUGAUGUGAAAGCCCACGGCUCAACCGUGGAGGGUCAUUGGAAACUGGGGAACUUGAGUGCAGAAGAGAAGAGUGGAAUUCCACGUGUAGCGGUGAAAUGCGUAAAGAUGUGGAGGAACACCAGUGGCGAAGGCGACUCUUUGGUCUGUAACUGACGCUGA